This 159-nucleotide non-coding RNA is filed under the name uncultured Ruminococcus sp. RNAcentral describes it as "Lysine riboswitch". It matches the Rfam family "Lysine riboswitch aptamer". From Rfam's summary of the family: Riboswitches are metabolite binding domains within certain messenger RNAs that serve as precision sensors for their corresponding targets. Allosteric rearrangement of mRNA structure is mediated by ligand binding, and this results in modulation of gene expression. Lineage: Bacteria; Bacillati; Bacillota; Clostridia; Eubacteriales; Oscillospiraceae. The record is from RNAcentral.
GGAUAGAGGCGCAGUCACGAAGAGUAGCGUUCAAUCAAAGCCCCCAAGGCUGAACGUGAAAGGCAAGACUGCCGAAGUAGAGGCCUUGGGAACACCUCUGCUGGACGACAGUUCAAUAGGCUGUCGGCUGUCAUCAUUAUGUAUGAUGGAGUGCUGCCG